AUGGCACUGAUCCUUGGCUUUCUCAAAGGCCGGAAACGCCACCUUAGGAUGCAGCAGAGUUCUUAUGACCAAACCACAAUCAGGGGGGCAGCAUGGCAAGUUUCGUCACAGGGCGCUAACGCUGACAAAUGUACGGGCAACCAACUUCAGCUAGCUAAUGCGGCAAAUCAAGGACCUUCAUGUAGCACGUGGCAUCAGGCAGCAACCAUGUACCUGCCAUCAACGUCGUACACAGGUUGUUACGGUGGAACCACAUCGGCAAACAUCUCAUGGCAAGCUUCACAGUUGCAGGAAAGCGCUAUUGCAGAUAGAGCACAUCAAAUUGGAAUGACAGACCACACAAGAUCGGCACAUGCGGCACAACAAGUAGUCGCCAUGUAUGUUGGACUGUAUCUGCCAUUGCUAUGUGCUGCAAGUUCUGAUGCUGAAAGAAGCUGGUUGCCAUUUGCUGUACUCCGUUACGAUACACAUGACGUUCAAGCAAAAUCUUACGCUCGUACCUGGUUUUUUAAUGCAGGACCUUCAACUACAAUUAACAGCGGCGCGGGGACAUCUACUGCGGGGAGCUCUGAGUGCACGGAAGACGUGUUCCACCAGCCAGCCAACACUCAUGCCACAAACAAUGUCGAGUUAGUGUCGGAAAUGGCAAUCGUGCCAGCAAUACUGACAAGCACACCUGUGCACACCAGCACAAGCAACACUCAAGCAGGUGAAACAGCCGCUGAUACUGAAGUGAAUGAUGAAACCGAUGACGAAGCACAAUGGGAUGAAGAUGGUGGGCAAUCAGAAAUCAUGGUACCCCAGCCACCGUAUCUUGGGCAGAGAUUUGAUUCAUUUGAAGAUGCAAAGGAAUUCUACCAGCCAUAUGCAAAGUUCCAUGGGUUGCGAGGUGAGAUGAGGUGCUGCAAGGCACGAAGAAACAAGAAGGGCAAAGGUGAUGCGCCUGUCGUUCCGGAACGAAAGAGAGGUAUCAUUGUCAAGAUGGAAUGCCCUGUCCGGUGUAAGCUGAACGUAGAUGGAGCAUCGUGGGUGGUCACUAAAUAUUUUGACGAGCACAACCACGAGCUAAUAAAGAAGUUUGACCUGGUAAAAUUUCUGACCGCCCACAGAGGAUUCACCCCCCUCGAGAAGAAAUUCAUAAAGCUGCUACAUGAUUGUAACGUCGGUCCAUCAAGAAUGGUGCAGAUACUCUCCCUCAUCCACAGCAAAAGGGGGUCUCUGAGUAGCAUGCCCUACCUACCAGCAGAUGUCACAAACCUAAAGGCAAAAUUCCAGGAAGAAAUAAAGCGUGCCAGCAUGUACACGGCUUUCCAGGUGGACGAACAUACGUUCAAGGCAUCGAUAAGCGAAGGCGAGUACUACUGCCAAUGCUGCAAAUUCGAACGGGACGGGAUUGUGUGCUGUCACAUUCUAAAAGUAAUGGACUUGAACGCGGUGACACGAGUGCCCCGCCAUUUCAUAAGGCGGCGAUGGACUUGGGACGCUGACGACGCAUUGGCGCCGCAAACAUCAAACGCAGUUUUGGCCGUGCCUGACGAGAGACCAGAGUCAACCAUGGAAGCCGUGAGGCACGUUGUGUUGACAAAGAACUAUGUUGAACUAAUUGAUGAAGCGUGCAAGAGUGAUGAGACAGCAAGGGUCACAGAAAAACACAGGAAGGCCCUCAAAAGAGAGCUUGAUGAGAUCAAGAAGAGGAAAGCUGAGGAAGCCUUACACAGGUUCCCCCGGACAUCAAGUGUGCCUUCGUCCACAGGGCCAUCAUCUGAAAACUCGGAGGUAGGAUCUGGAACAGCAAGCACACAAACACAGGUUAGGAACCCGCCCCGUUCCAUCACAAAAGGGCGUCCAAAAGAGAUAAGAUACAAAUCGGGAUUGGAGAUUCAAGCAAAACACAAGAAACCAAAGAAAGGGACGGGCAAUCCGUAA
RNAcentral lists this ribosomal RNA (1926 nucleotides) under Triticum aestivum (bread wheat). RNAcentral describes it as "partial small subunit ribosomal RNA". Lineage: Eukaryota; Viridiplantae; Streptophyta; Magnoliopsida; Poales; Poaceae. The record is from RNAcentral.